AAAAAAAAAUCUACGCAUAUUCAUCCAAUGUAGGCAGCAUUUACAUAACAGAUAAAUGGCAACUUUCAGAAAAGUAUUAUGUGAUUCUGUUGUCUUUUAAUAGUCAUACUCAUAGCAAAGGGGAUUUUACAUGAGUCACGCACACCUAUAAAAGUCAAGAAUACCCACUAGUUGGUUUACACUUACACAAGAGCAAACAAGCGAAUCAGACAGAGGGGAGGAAAAGAAACUGAGGAGAGCGAAGAGCUAAGCGAGGAAGGACAAAGAGAGAGACUGAGAGAGAGAGAGAGACCGGUUGCUGAGGAAGUGUUUUGUCAUUGCUGAGACAGGACACCUUCAACACCACCGGCAGUGAGGUAAGCAUGGGAGUGAAGCACGGGAGCCUUCAAGCAUGGUCCCAGGUUGAGGUUAAUGCUAAUCGUGAUAGGGGUUGUUCUUAUUAACAGACACCUAACAUGUUAGCAUUAGCUUCACUUUGGGAGAUCUCACAGGACAAAAAAAGCUGAAGGCCACUGCUACGACGAAAAAGAGGAGUCAUCAUGACACUGAGGAAUAUGAGGCAGGCACAGAGCGAAGCUGCAGGGGAAUAACCGUUCAGUCAAGCACAUGCUCUGUUUCACUGGCUGUAAUUUAAGCCGUUUAGAUGGUUAUAACUCUGGGGUUGUCAGUUUGGUGCCCGUUGGGAGCAUUUUGUGCAGCGGUGCAGCGACACCUGCAAGGAAAUAUGAAAUAGCUGCAGUUCCUGUUGUAUUACAUAUGAAGUGGUACAGAAAGAAAAAGACCAAAUUCUCUAAUUACAAUUCUCUGUUUUUGGAUCUGGGUCGUCAAAUCUUUGAGGAACCCCCAAUUUCUUUCAAUUCUGCCUUGGCACAACCUUACAUCUGAGUUCAAAGAGUCAGGGCUUUUCUCUGCUUCUCUGACUUUUACCCUAACACUAAAAGAAUCAUUUCCACCUUACUACUUUGCUGUUACAGUGUAUUUCCAGGUGCAUGGAUGCAGUAAAAGGUGGAAAAAGUAACAUUUUAAAAUGUGAGCAUUAUGGAUGAAUCAGCUCUGCUAGAGAUGACAGCGGUUAAAGAGAAAGAGGAAGCCAGUUCAUCAUCAAACAAACUAAACGGUUAAAGGUGCACUUUUAUAUUUCUGUUGAUUUCACAGAUCAGCUGAGAAAUCCUGAAAAUUUGCUAACACAGACUGUAAAUCGCUUAAGCUGUGUUGUGUACUUUCUCUAAGUUGCUUCACAAGAAAAUAAAACCAAUUACAAAACACC
Molecule: long non-coding RNA, 1267 nt
Organism: Oreochromis niloticus (Nile tilapia)
Lineage: Eukaryota; Metazoa; Chordata; Actinopteri; Cichliformes; Cichlidae
Exons: 2
Source: RefSeq, a predicted model, not a curated record